AGAACGAACGCUGGCGGCAGGCUUAACACAUGCAAGUCGAGCGCUGUAGCAAUACAGAGCGGCGCACGGGUAAGUAACACGUGGGAACAUGCCUUUCGGUUCGGAAUAACUCAGGGAAACUUGUGCUAAUACCGGAUACGCCCUUACGGGGAAAGAUUUAUUGCCGAAAGAGUGGCCCGCGUUGGAUUAGCUAGUUGGCGGGGUAAAAGCCCACCAAGGCGACGAUCCAUAGCUGGUCUGAGAGGACGACCAGCCACACUGGGACUGAGACACGGCCCAGACUCCUACGGGAGGCAGCAGUGGGGAAUCUUGCGCAAUGCGCGAAAGCGUGACGCAGCAACGCCGCGUGGGGGAAGAAGGCUUUCGGGUUGUAAACCCCUUUCAGUUGGGACGAAGCUUCGUUGGUUAAUAGCCGACUGGAGUGACGGUACCUUCACAAGAAGCACCGGCUAACUACGUGCCAGCAGCCGC
Molecule: ribosomal RNA, 471 nt
Filed under: uncultured bacterium
Lineage: Bacteria
Description: SSU rRNA
Rfam family: Bacterial small subunit ribosomal RNA
Source: RNAcentral